RNAcentral lists this ribosomal RNA (253 nucleotides) under uncultured bacterium. RNAcentral describes it as "partial 16S ribosomal RNA". It matches the Rfam family "Bacterial small subunit ribosomal RNA", at positions 524 to 776 of the family's 1533-position model. The record is from RNAcentral.
UACAGAGGAUGCAAGCGUUAUCCGGAAUGAUUGGGCGUAAAGCGUCUGUAGGUGGCUUUUUAAGUCCGCCGUCAAAUCCCAGGGCUCAACUCUGGACAGGCGGUGGAAACUACCAAGCUGGAGUACGGUAGGGGCAGAGGGAAUUUCCGGUGGAGCGGUGAAAUGCGUAGAGAUCGGAAAGAACAUCAGUGGCGAAAGCGACUUCCUGGACCAAUACUGACGCUCAUGUGCGAAAGCGUGGGGAGCAAACAGG